Molecule: ribosomal RNA, 423 nt
Filed under: uncultured bacterium
Lineage: Bacteria
Description: partial 16S ribosomal RNA
Rfam family: Bacterial small subunit ribosomal RNA
Source: RNAcentral
AAUAUUGGAUAAUGGGGGAAACCCUGAUCCAGCCAUCCCGCGUGUAUGAUGAAGGCCUNCGGGUUNUNAAGUACUUUUGGCAGUGNCAAAAAGGUACCUCCUAAUACGAGGUACUGCUGACGGUAUCUGCAGAAUAAGCACUGGCUAACUACGUGCCAGCAGCCGCGGUAAUACGUAGGGUGCAAGCGUUAAUCGGAAUUACUGGGCGUAAAGCGUGUGUAGGCGAUUCGAAAAGAAACAUGUGAAAUCCCGAGGCUCUACCUUGGCACUGCAUGUUUAACUGGCGAGCUAGAGUAUGUCAGAGGGGGGUAGGAUUCCACGUGUAGCAGUGAAAUGCGUAGAUAUGUGGAGGAAUACCGAUGGCGAAGGCAGCCCCCUGGGAUAAUACUGACGCUCAGACACGAAAGCGUGGGGAGCAAACAG